Non-coding RNA from Paramuricea clavata, 218 nucleotides. NCBI's taxonomy places the organism in Eukaryota, Metazoa, Cnidaria, Anthozoa, Malacalcyonacea, Plexauridae. The record is from the annotation of a GenBank genome assembly.
GAGAAAUAUAGCUAGCAAUCUCUCCAUUGGUAACCGGGUAGACACGAUGGCUAAACGAAGCGCAUACAUAACGUUAAAAGAUCACAAAGAAAACUUUGAAUCUAACCCGAAGUUCCGUCUUAUUAAUCCUGCCAAGAGCGAACUUGGAAAAGUCAGCAAAAUUAUCUUGGACGACAUAAAUGCUAGAAUAAACUCUACAAUAAAAGUUAACCAGUGGC